RNAcentral lists this ribosomal RNA (253 nucleotides) under uncultured prokaryote. Its description in RNAcentral is "partial 16S ribosomal RNA". It matches the Rfam family "Bacterial small subunit ribosomal RNA", at positions 525 to 777 of the family's 1533-position model. The record is from RNAcentral.
ACAGAGGGUGCAAACGUUGUUCGGAAUUACUGGGCGUAAAGCGUGUGUAGGCGGCUACGCAAGUCGGAUGUGAAAGCCCUGGGCUCAACUCAGGAAGUGCACCCGAUACUGCGCAGCUAGAGUACCGGAGAGGUUGGUAGAAUUCUCGGUGUAGAGGUGAAAUUCGUAGAUAUCGAGAGGAAUACCUGUGGCGAAGGCGGCCAACUGGACGAGUACUGACGCUGAGACACGAAAGCGUGGGGAGCAAACAGGA